CGGUGCAAAUAACGAUCUCUGGAAGAAGAAUGCGAUACGAACCGGAUAGAAAGCAGCUGCUCCAUAAAUAUGCAGCGGUGCAGGAUUUCCCCCUUUCUGAUCUGCCCUGGGGCAAAGCCACGUGGGUGAGCCCUUGUGCCCUGUGGUUUGAGGAGGAUUCACCUUGGAGAAGAUCCCAUCAAGCUAUAAACAAUCUUUCAUAUAAUAAAAGGGAUCAGUCAGAAGAACUUUUUGACUGAAUUUGCAGUGACGGUCCACUCAAAGAGGAAACAAA
Molecule: long non-coding RNA, 274 nt
Organism: Silurus meridionalis
Lineage: Eukaryota; Metazoa; Chordata; Actinopteri; Siluriformes; Siluridae
Exons: 2
Source: RefSeq, a predicted model, not a curated record